Molecule: ribosomal RNA, 502 nt
Filed under: uncultured bacterium
Lineage: Bacteria
Description: partial 16S ribosomal RNA
Rfam family: Bacterial small subunit ribosomal RNA
Source: RNAcentral
AUUGAACGCUGGCGGCGUGCUUAACACAUGCAAGUCGAUCGGUAACAGGUGUAGCAAUACAUGCUGACGAGAGGCGGACGGGUGAGGAAUAUUUGGGAAUCUGCCCAUCAGCGGGGGACAACCCGGGGAAACCCGGGCUAAUACCGCAUACGCUCUACGGAGGAAAGCCGGGGACCGCAAGGCCUGGCACUGAUGGAUGAGCCCAAGUCGGAUUAGCUAGUUGGCGGGGUAACGGCCCACCAAGGCGACGAUCCGUAGCUGGUCUGAGAGGACGAUCAGCCACACCGGAACUGAGACACGGUGCGGACUCCUACGGGAGGCAGCAGUGGGGAAUAUUGGACAAUGGGGGAAACCCUGAUCCAGCGACGCCGCGUGGGUGAAGAAGGCCUGCGGGUUGUAAAGCCCUUUCGGUAGGGACGAAAGCUCUUGCUCUAAUAAUGCAAGAGGUUGACUUAACCUACAUAAGAAGCACCGGCUAACUCUGUGCCAGCCGCCGCGGUAA